GACGAACGCUGGCGGCGUGCCUAAUACAUGCAAGUAGAACGCUGAAGGAGGAGCUUGCUUCUCUGGAUGAGUUGCGAACGGGUGAGUAACGCGUAGGUAACCUGCCUGGUAGCGGGGGAUAACUAUUGGAAACGAUAGCUAAUACCGCAUAACAGUAGAUAUCGCAUGAUAUCUACUUGAAAGGUGCAAUUGCAUCACUACCAGAUGGACCUGCGUUGUAUUAGCUAGUUGGUGAGGUAACGGCUCACCAAGGCGACGAUACAUAGCCGACCUGAGAGGGGGAUCGGCCACACUGGGACUGAGACACGGCCCAGACUCCUACGGGAGGCAGCAGUAGGGAAUCUUCGGCAAUGGACGGAAGGCUGAACGAGCAACGCCGCGUGAGUGAAGAAGGUUGUCGGAUCGUAAAGAUCUGUUGUAAGAGAAGAAAGAGUGUGAGAAUGGAAAGUUCACACUGUGACGGUAUCUUACCAGAAAGGGACGGCUAACUACGUG
This 495-nucleotide ribosomal RNA is filed under the name uncultured bacterium. RNAcentral's name for it is "partial 16S ribosomal RNA". It matches the Rfam family "Bacterial small subunit ribosomal RNA", at positions 28 to 507 of the family's 1533-position model. The record is from RNAcentral.